UAAACGAUUUCUAGAAUAUUUAUCGAUGUACACUUGCGCGCGUCUCAGCACUUUUAUUCAUACCCGACCUUUUGAAGACUGUUAACCGAUAGAACUGUUUACAUUCGUCUGUUUCUCAGUCGCCGCGCACACACAUAUCUCCACACAGUGAUAUCCCGUUACAUCGCCGCGCACACACAUAUCUCCACACAGUGAUAUCC
Molecule: unclassified non-coding RNA, 200 nt
Filed under: Bombus terrestris (buff-tailed bumblebee)
Lineage: Eukaryota; Metazoa; Arthropoda; Insecta; Hymenoptera; Apidae
Description: misc RNA ENSBTSG00005032761.1
Source: RNAcentral